Molecule: non-coding RNA, 781 nt
Filed under: Triatoma dimidiata (kissing bug)
Lineage: Eukaryota; Metazoa; Arthropoda; Insecta; Hemiptera; Reduviidae
Source: RNAcentral
UAAUGUUGAUUCUUUCAUCAAAGUUUGAUUCUGGCUUAUUAAAUUUGCCUUUUUUUAAUUGUACAUGUAUAUUUUUGUGUGUUAGCCUUGUCUAAAUGUUUAUGAUUUAUAUUCGCAGUUCUUUAUUUUAUAUAUUAUAUAAUUAUUGAUUUAGUUAAUUAAAGGAGCUCUGACUAAUAUUGUGCCAGCAGUCGCGGUUAUACAAUAGGAGCGAGUGAGUUUGUUUUGGUUUAUAUUUAAUUUUAAUUAAUGUUGCUUAAGUUUUAAAUUAUUGGGGUGAAAUCAAUAUUUCUUUUUAAGUAAUUUUUAUGAUUAAAUAUGAUGGUUCAAGGUGAGACUGGGAUUAGAGACCCCAUUAUUAUGAAUAGUAAAUUUUUAAUCUUAGUAUUAAUAGUUAUGAUCUUUAAAUUAAAAGAAUUUGGCGGUAAUUUAGUCUGUUCAGAGGAAUCUGCCCUGUAAUUGAUAGUCCACGAUAAAUUUUACUUUACUUGGGCUUGUAUAUCGCUGUCAUUGAAUGUCUUAUUAGGGGAUUUUCGUUAAUCAUUAUAUGGAAGAUGUCAGGUCAAGGUGCAGCUAUGGUAAAGAAGAGGUGGAUUACAUUUAAUGUAUUUAUGGAUAAGUUUAUGAAAAUAGCUUUGAAAUUGGAUUUGAGAGUAACUUCUAUUAUAAUAUAGAAUUGAUUUAGCUCUAAAUUAUGCACAUAUCGCCCGUCACUCUCGUUAUUUAAAAUGAGAUAAGUCGUAACAAAGUAGGCUUACUGGAARRGUGAGCCUGGUUUUAU